RNAcentral lists this ribosomal RNA (467 nucleotides) under uncultured bacterium. RNAcentral's name for it is "partial 16S ribosomal RNA". It matches the Rfam family "Bacterial small subunit ribosomal RNA", at positions 28 to 506 of the family's 1533-position model. The record is from RNAcentral.
GACGAACGCUGGCGGCGUGCUUAACACAUGCAAGUCGAACGGAAAGGCCCUGCUUUUGUGGGGUGCUCGAGUGGCGAACGGGUGAGUAACACGUGAGUAACCUGCCCUUUACUUUGGGAUAACUUCAGGAAACUGGGGCUAAUACCGGAUAGGAGCUCCUGCUGCAUGGUGGGGGUUGGAAAGUUUCGGCGGUUGGGGAUGGACUCGCGGCUUAUCAGCUUGUUGGUGGGGUAGUGGCUUACCAAGGCUUUGACGGGUAGCCGGCCUGAGAGGGUGACCGGCCACAUUGGGAAUGGGAAACGGCCCAGCCCCCGAGGGGAGGCAGAGGGGGGGAAUAAUGCACAAGGGGCGGAAGCAGGAUGAAGCAACGCCGGGGGGGGGAUGCCGGCCUUCGGGUUGAAAACCGAUUUCGCCUGUGACGAAGCGUGGGUGGGGGAAAGGGGUAAAGAAGCACCGGAAAAUUACUA